Molecule: long non-coding RNA, 334 nt
Organism: Magallana angulata
Lineage: Eukaryota; Metazoa; Mollusca; Bivalvia; Ostreida; Ostreidae
Exons: 3
Source: RefSeq, a predicted model, not a curated record
UUCAGACAGUUUACAGAAGACAUAAAUUUUUCAAGAUCUAGACAUUCUUCUUGAGUUCAUAGAUAGUUCUACACUGCGGAUGGUAUAAACGUGACAAAUCAUGGUUUUUUCAGUCCAUAGCUGUAAUAAUGGUAACCAUCGGUAGGAACAGUUUACCGAAUAGUAGAAGUUCUGGCCAGAGUUCAAAGGAGAGAAUUAUAAAAUGAUAUACAUGAUUCUAUAGUAAAAACCACAUAUAUAGUUCUAUCAUCAAUAGAAAAAACAACAACAGACCAAAUAUAUGGGAACCUCUGCAGGAAAAAAAAAGAAAGAAGAAUCAAGGGUUACCAAGAGG